This 253-nucleotide unclassified non-coding RNA is filed under the name uncultured Hymenobacteraceae bacterium. RNAcentral's name for it is "contains 16S-23S intergenic spacer region". It matches the Rfam family "Bacterial small subunit ribosomal RNA", at positions 524 to 776 of the family's 1533-position model. Lineage: Bacteria; Pseudomonadati; Bacteroidota; Cytophagia; Cytophagales; Hymenobacteraceae. The record is from RNAcentral.
UACGGAGGGUGCAAGCGUUGUCCGGAUUUAUUGGGUUUAAAGGGUGCGUAGGCGGCCUUGUAAGUCAGUGGUGAAAGCCCAUAGCUCAACUAUGGAACUGCCAUUGAUACUGCAAGGCUUGAGUACAGACGAGGUUGGCGGAAUUGAUGGUGUAGCGGUGAAAUGCAUAGAUACCAUCAAGAACACCGAUUGCGAAGGCAGCUAACUAGGCUGUAACUGACGCUGAGGCACGAAAGCGUGGGGAGCGAACAGG